RNAcentral lists this long non-coding RNA (311 nucleotides) under Olea europaea subsp. europaea. The record is from RNAcentral. Lineage: Eukaryota; Viridiplantae; Streptophyta; Magnoliopsida; Lamiales; Oleaceae.
CAAAGUUUUUCAAUCUGGCGAAGUGGCUUUAGUUUAUUCAUCAAUCUAAUGGUUGUGUGUGUAAAUUCAAUCCCAGCGCUCCCAACACUUGCUUUUGCUUCAAAAUGCAGAACCCAGAUAGAAAUAAAUCAAAUGCAUGCAAGUUUAAUUACCACAGGGCAGUUAAAAAAUCCGUGUUUGACCACAAAAAUAAUUCUUGAUUUUGCUAUUUCAAAACACGAACCCCUCGUUAAUUUUGCAAGAUACCUCUUUUUUAAACAAAAUUGUAAAGACCCUUUUAUUUGGAAUUUAAUUAUUAAAUCUUAUUCUCA